Molecule: ribosomal RNA, 776 nt
Filed under: Flavobacterium sp.
Lineage: Bacteria; Pseudomonadati; Bacteroidota; Flavobacteriia; Flavobacteriales; Flavobacteriaceae
Description: bacterial SSU rRNA
Rfam family: Bacterial small subunit ribosomal RNA
Source: RNAcentral
CAGUCGAGGGGUAUAGUAGCAAUACUGGAGACCGGCGCACGGGUGCGUAACGCGUAUGCAAUCUACCUUUCGCAGAGGGAUAGCCCAGAGAAAUUUGGAUUAAUACCUCAUAGUAUAGCAGUUUCGCAUGAAACCACUAUUAAAGUCACAACGGUGAAAGAUGAGCAUGCGUCCCAUUAGCUAGAUGGUAAGGUAACGGCUUACCAUGGCAACGAUGGGUAGGGGUCCUGAGAGGGAGAUCCCCCACACUGGUACUGAGACACGGACCAGACUCCUACGGGAGGCAGCAGUGAGGAAUAUUGGACAAUGGGCGCAAGCCUGAUCCAGCCAUGCCGCGUGCAGGAUGACGGUCCUAUGGAUUGUAAACUGCUUUUGUACAGGAAGAAACACUCCCUCGUGAGGGAGCUUGACGGUACUGUAAGAAUAAGGAUCGGCUAACUCCGUGCCAGCAGCCGCGGUAAUACGGAGGAUCCAAGCGUUAUCCGGAAUCAUUGGGUUUAAAGGGUCCGUAGGCGGUUUAGUAAGUCAGUGGUGAAAGCCCAUCGCUCAACGGUGGAACGGCCAUUGAUACUGCUAAACUUGAAUUAUUAGGAAGUAACUAGAAUAUGUAGUGUAGCGGUGAAAUGCUUAGAGAUUACAUGGAAUACCAAUUGCGAAGGCAGGUUACUACUAAUGGAUUGACGCUGAUGGACGAAAGCGUGGGUAGCGAACAGGAUUAGAUACCCUGGUAGUCCACGCCGUAAACGAUGGAUACUAGCUGUUGGGCGCAAGUUCAG